AAGGAGGAUGUCUGAGAGCAUUAUCAACAAUAAGCGAAAUCUUGAAAGGUUAAUCACUUUAUGUGGCCUCUUACUGGACAACAUUAACAGUGGAUUUUAUAUGCUUAGGGGUCAUGAUGAAGAAAACAACAUGAGACUAAAUCAAGCACAGGAGAAAAUGAUGCAAUCAAGACACACGGUAAACAUGAGAUGUAUGAGGCUGCUGCUGGUAUAACACAGCAUACUAUUUUACAGUAAACUUUUUUUAUAUGUAGAAAGAAUGCACUAAAAUAAUGAUAAAAAAGUAUAGUACAGUAAACACAUAAACCAGUAAAGUAGCCAUUUAUUAUCGUCAUCAAGUAUAAUGUACUGUACAUAAUUGAAUGUGCUAUACUUUUACACAACUAGCAGUGCUGUAGGUUUGUUUACACCAGCAUCACCACAAACACAGCAGUAAUGCUUUGCGCUAUGAUGUUAGGAUGGCUAUGACGUCACUAGGUGAUAGGAAAAUUUCAGCUCUAUUAUAAUCUUAUGGAACCACACUUGUAUAUGUGGUCCGUCAUUGACCAAAACAUCAUUUUACAGUGCAUGAUUGUACUAGUUUUUAGAUUCUUUGCAACUAAUAUUUGUUUUAUUGUUUAACCAUCUGUAUUAGUUUCCUAGACCUGCUCUAACAAAAUAGCACAAAUUUGGUGGCAGCAAAAAUUUAUUCUUUCACCGUUUUGGAGGUCAGAAGUCCCAAAUUAAAGUGUUGGCAGGAUUGAUUCCUUCUGGAGGCUCGGAAGUAGAAUGUAUUCCCCACCUUCCGGCAGCUUCUGGCAAUCCUUGAUAUCUCUUGGCUUGUAGACUCAUCACGCCCAGCUCUGCUCCAUGUUCAAGUCAGCUUUCUCUCUGUGUGUUUGUGUCUCAACUCUCCCUCUCCUUUUCCUUAUAAGGACACCGGUCACUGGAUUUAGGGCCCGCUCUAAAUCCAGGAUGUCAUUUUGAGACCUUUAACUUCAUCAAAUCUGCGAAGACUCUAUUUCCAAAUAAGGUCACAUUCACAGAUACCAGGGUUAGGAGCCGGACAUAUCUUUUGGGGAGAUACAAUUCAACUCACUACAUCAUCUAUGGCUUUUAAAAAUUUCUGCAUUAUAUGAGAAAGCACAUGUUAGAUUUUAUAUAUGUUAAGGAUAUGAUUACAGAAGCAAAGUGAGAAGUUGAUACAAUUGUCUAGAAAAUUCCAGAAAAAUGCUCAAUUUUGAUUCAUGUGGCUGAAUAUUUUAGGCCAAACAUAAUUUGAAAAUCUGCAUGAUGCUCUUGGAAGAUUCUUUUAGUCUUAAGAGAUAUGGAGUUGAGAAAAAGAUAACAUAAUAACUAGGAGUAGGGUACACAUCAUUAGAGAACAGAAAGACAAGGCUUUUCAGGCUCAAAAACAUUCUGAAAUUCUGGUGAUAUGUGAAAAUGACUUGCAAUGCUGCAAAAUUACAUGACCAUGGAUGUACUUUUUAUUUGUUACAGUCUAGAAUUUGUGCUUUUAUCUGUAAUUCAAAUAUUAAUGGCAGUUAGUUGGUUAACAUUUAUUGAACUCUAGAUCUUCAAUUAUGAGAGGAUCAAUAGAA
Long non-coding RNA from Equus caballus (horse), 1580 nucleotides. NCBI's taxonomy places the organism in Eukaryota, Metazoa, Chordata, Mammalia, Perissodactyla, Equidae. The record is from Ensembl.